AGCAGUGUGGCUCAGUGGAAAGAGCCCCGGCUUGGGAGUCAGAAGUCCUGGGUUCUAAUCCCGGCUCUGCCA
This is a non-coding RNA of Ornithorhynchus anatinus (platypus), 72 nucleotides long. The record is from Rfam. Lineage: Eukaryota; Metazoa; Chordata; Mammalia; Monotremata; Ornithorhynchidae.